Molecule: ribosomal RNA, 382 nt
Filed under: uncultured eukaryote
Lineage: Eukaryota
Description: partial 18S ribosomal RNA
Rfam family: Eukaryotic small subunit ribosomal RNA
Source: RNAcentral
UGUAAGCGUAUACCAAAGUUGUUGCAGUUAAAACGCUCGUAGUCGGAAUUUGGCAGUUCCGGAUGUGUGCACGUCGUGUGCGCACUUCGCGGGGAUUGCUUUUGUGGUCUUGCGUAGGAUGAGGCACUUUUAUUAGUGAACGUCCUCACGCAACCACUUUUUACUGUGAGAAAAUCAGAGUGCUCAAAGCAGGCAUUUGCCGUGAAUGUAUUAGCAUGGAAUAAAAGAAUAGGACUUGGUUCUAUUUUGUUGGUUUGUUGGGACUGAGUAAUGAUUAAGAGGGACAGUUGGGGGCAUUUGUAUUUCGGUGCUAGAGGUGAAAUUCUUAGAUUACCGAAAGACAAACUGCUGCGAAAGCGUCUGCCAAGGAUGUUUUCAUUGA